AUAAAUUUACUUUUUGUUUUAAAGUAUUCAUGAACCUAUUAACUAUUAAUUAAUUAAUAAUUUUCUCUUGCAUGAAAAUUUUACCCUAUAAAUAGUGUUUAUUUUGUUUGGAAAGACAAGACUCAAAAAACACUUACCUCCUUGAAAAACAUUUGAGAGACAUUGAUCAAGUGGUGUAAUCAUCAAUUCAAGAAUAGAAGAGCAACAUUCUUGAAUGUUACUUGUUUUGUGUCUU
Molecule: long non-coding RNA, 235 nt
Filed under: Capsicum annuum
Lineage: Eukaryota; Viridiplantae; Streptophyta; Magnoliopsida; Solanales; Solanaceae
Description: long non-coding RNA (CANN_LNC017221)
Source: RNAcentral